Non-coding RNA from Ceratotherium simum simum (southern white rhinoceros), 439 nucleotides. NCBI's taxonomy places the organism in Eukaryota, Metazoa, Chordata, Mammalia, Perissodactyla, Rhinocerotidae. The record is from RefSeq and is a predicted model, not a curated record.
UUCUCUGAAAUUGGGUGUUCCCUGCAAAGUUGGGAACUUCAGCGCUCUCUUGAGUUCUGUUUCUUCAUGCUUUCCUCACUGUUCGACUCUCGGCAGCUCCUGCCUGUGCUUCUAUGUGCUCUGGGCUUGGGAACUGUGUACCUAAGGAAAGCUUAACCACCACGGACUUCCUUCCUGCCUGCCCACCUCCCUGCCGUGAGCUUGUGAUACUUCUGUUGGCAUCUCAUCCAAAGCAGAGCCAAUAUUCUGAAUAAUGACCUGGAGCUCAUGCCAGCUGGUGAGGUCACUGCACCAUCCCCAGAAUUUGACAGCCGGGGACUGGAGUUCAGUUUUUAUUGAGCAUCUUCUAUGUGCCAGGCACUAAGCAGGUUCUGAAGAUACAGAGGGGUGAGAAGGACAUCUUUAUCUGCAAAGAACUGACAGCCUGGAAAGGCCACCA